This 384-nucleotide unclassified non-coding RNA is filed under the name uncultured bacterium. RNAcentral's name for it is "contains 16S-23S intergenic spacer region". The record is from RNAcentral.
UCCUGGUUUCCCAGGCAGUCCCAUCAGAGUGCUCCAUCACUGGAUAGCAACUGACAGCAGGGGUUGCGCUCGUUAUAGGACUUAACCCAACAUCUCACGACACGAGCUGACGACAGCCAUGCAGCACCUGUGUAUAUGUUCAGGGUUACCCCUGAAAAGCCGUGUUUCUACGGAUGUCAUAUACAUGUCAAGCCUAGGUAAGGUUCCUCGCGUAGUGUCGAAUUAAACCACAUGUUCCACCGCUUGUGCGGACCCCCGUCAAUUCCUUUGAGUUUUAAUCUUGCGACCGUACUCCCCAGGCGGAUCACUUAGCGCGUUAGCUACGACACCAAUCUUGCAAAGCAAGACCAACAUCUAGUGAUCAUCGUUUACAGCGUGGACUAC